AUAGCCUAACGGCUGAACCAGCAACUUGGAGGAAUGAAAAGCAAUAGCUGAUUGCAUUUAAUUUAAUGUAGUUACUACUUGGUAGUUUAAAUUUCGAGGUAGAAUUUUGAUGAUGACAUUAUCUAUCUAUUAGUCUUGACCAAAUUACGUGCCAGCAGUCGCGGUAAUACGUAGAAGACGAGUGUUAUUCAUCUUUAUUGGGUUUAAAGAGUACCAAGACGGUUAAUAAAGCCCAAAAGACAUGAAUACGGGGGACACAUUAACUAGAGUUAUAUGAAAGGAAGCUCUAAGGUACUGUUGAGUGUAGAGAUGAAAUUUUAUGAUACCAGAUGAUUGGCACAGAUUUAUGCGAAGGCAUCUUCUUAUGUAAUAACUGACGUUGUAGGACGAAGGCUUGGGAAGUGAACAGGAUUAGGUACCCCAGUAAUCUAGGCAGAAAAUGAUGAAUGUCAUAGGUUCGUUAAAUAGGACGGGUCUAUAAAUGAAAGUGUAAGCAUUCCACCUCAAGAGUAAUUUGGCAACAUUGGAACUGAAAUCAUUAGACCGUUUCUGAAACCAGUAGUGAAGUAUGUUGUUUAAUUAGAUGAUACACAAAAACCUUACCACAACUUGAAUAUAUAUAAAAUAUAUUUACAAGCGCUGCACGGCUGUCUACAGUUAAUGUCGUGAGACUUUGGUUAGCUCCAUUAAAUUGACUAAAACCCAAAUUAUAUUUAUAAAUAUAAUUAACAUCGCUAUAUAUGAUGUUUUAAGAGGGAACAUGACAAGUCAUCAUGGCCGAAAUUAUUGU
RNAcentral lists this ribosomal RNA (790 nucleotides) under Sticta atlantica. RNAcentral's name for it is "mitochondrial SSU rRNA". It matches the Rfam family "Bacterial small subunit ribosomal RNA", at positions 371 to 1210 of the family's 1533-position model. The record is from RNAcentral. Lineage: Eukaryota; Fungi; Ascomycota; Lecanoromycetes; Peltigerales; Lobariaceae.